Molecule: ribosomal RNA, 294 nt
Filed under: Triticum aestivum (bread wheat)
Lineage: Eukaryota; Viridiplantae; Streptophyta; Magnoliopsida; Poales; Poaceae
Description: partial small subunit ribosomal RNA
Source: RNAcentral
AUGGCGGCGGAUUCGCAGCUUCCACGGCCGCUCCACCUCGGGCAGCGUGGAUCACGGCCAGCGGCCCGAUGGAGGCGGGUACCGGCGUGGUUGCUAUUCUGCCCUGCUCUCCCUCCAUGUCUCCUCCUGAGCCUUCGGUGGCCAGAUGCCUCUUCCACUAGGGGCACCCUCAUCGUUGGCGGAUUUUAUAUUUUUCAGGUCAGACAGUGUGCAGCCACACCUGGUCAACAUCCAGUUUCAGAAGAAUGUACAUCUGCAACUUGUUACUCUCUACAUGGAUUUCAAGUUGGAUGA